RNAcentral lists this ribosomal RNA (467 nucleotides) under uncultured bacterium. RNAcentral describes it as "partial 16S ribosomal RNA". It matches the Rfam family "Bacterial small subunit ribosomal RNA", at positions 28 to 506 of the family's 1533-position model. The record is from RNAcentral.
GACGAACGCUGGCGGCGUGCUUAACACAUGCAAGUCGAACGGAAAGGCCCUGCUUUUGUGGGGUGCUCGAGUGGCGAACGGGUGAGUAACACGUGAGUAACCUGCCCUUGACUUUGGGAUAACUUCAGGAAACUGGGGCUAAUACCGGAUAGGAGCUCCUGCUGCAUGGUGGGGGUUGGAAAGUUUCGGCGGUUGGGGAUGGACUCGCGGCUUAUCAGCUUGUUGGUGGGGUAGUGGCUUACCAAGGCUUUGACGGGUAGCCGGCCUGAGAGGGUGACCGGCCACAUUGGGCCUGAGAUACGGCCCAGACGCCUACGGGAGGCAGCAGUGGGGAAUAUUGCACAAUGGGCGGAAGCCUGAUGCAGCAACGCCGCGUGCGGGAUGACGGCCUUCGGGUUGUAAACCGCUUUCGCCUGUGACGAAGCGUGAGUGACGGUAAUGGGUAAAGAAGCACCGGCUAACUACGU